AGGACACCCACCCGUACGAGAGUUUUAUUGAGUUUUAUUUUGUAAUCAACCUAAAAUACAAAGACAUUCAAGCAGUGCGAUGCAUGAGGAGUCUGCCAUGCAGACCAGCGAUCCUGAUCCUGUUGUCGGCCUUGGAUGAUGAGGUCCAGUUACCAGGAUAACUACUCUGCAGCUCACUGAUCCCAUCCUGCAGCUCAUCCAUGCCGUCCUCCUCUCAACAGACCAAAUCAAGAAAAACUAAGCAGGAUGCUACUGUGGAUCUGCUCUUCAGAUUAGCUCUGCUGUGAUUAACAAUCUGCCUUCAUCGCAGUCACAGCCAACGGGGAAGAUGGUCUUAAGGUUAAUUGCGAGGCAGAGGUCCACUGUUGCCUGGAUAUCCGGGAUCACGUCACUGGUGGGACACAAUUGUACUGGAUUUCAGCUGAAGGCUGCUGUUCUGUCCAAACUGUCAUGAGACAUUGACAUUUUUAUUGUGAUAUACCCACCACUGUUGUUAGUUUUUGUUUCAAUAAAUAGUUUGAGAUGAGGAAAUCACUAUUGCAUGCUUCUACUUAAAUGCCCUACUUUCAUGAUUUGGUAUCACCAUAGCAUGAAUUUUUUACAUUUUCCAUAAAUUUCACCCAAAAGUUGAAUAACUAUUUGUGAGCGGUGUAUGUAUACACGUCAUCUAAGCACACUUCAAUAAUAUAUCUGCUGCAGUAGUGCAGUUUAUCUAUCUUGCGUGGUGUGAUAUGUUCAAAAGCACCACUAAUUAUCUGUCAAAAUGUGUGUAACAGAAGUGUGCACUGAACACUGAAUAAAGUCUGUAGAUUAUAGACAAAACACGCAUCUUUCAUCACAAAUUUCUGUUUAUUCCCCCAACGUGCAAGAGUUAAAAUACAAAACAGGUGAAGUUAAAUAACUAAAAUGUAAAAGAAUUUACAAAAAAGAAGGUUUUUUUUUUUUUUUUUUUAAAAAAGAUCACAAGUAGUGGAUAAUGCAGUUUAUUUCUGUGACAGUCUCUACAGCACUGACACCGUACGUCCCAUCAGUCCAACCAAGGUGUUUGAAUUUUCAUCCAUCCUCUGGAUGUUCUGGAGCAUAGCAGUGGUCAGGUCUUGGUCUCUGGAUGUUCUGGAGCAUGGCAGUGGUCAGGUCUUGGUCUCUGGAUGUUCUGGAGCAUGGCAGAGGUCAGGUCUUGGUCUCUGGAUGUUCUGGAGCAUGGCAGUGGUCAGGUCUUGGUCUCUGGAUGUUCUGGAGCAUGGCAGAGGUCAGGUCUUGGUCUCUGGAUGUUCUGGAGCAUGGCAGUGGUCAGGUCUUGGUCUCUGGAUGUUCUGGAGCAUGGCAGAGGUCAGGUCUUGGUCUCUGGAUGUUCUGGAGCAUGGCAGAGGUCAGGUCUUGGUGUCUCCUCAACUGUUCCUCUGACCUCUCCAGAUACUGCAGCAGAUCCACAGUAGCAUCCCGCUUCCUUUUUCCUGCAUAAAAGCACCCAAAAAGGUAUUAGUUGUUAGUAAUUACUUUCUAUAUUCAUAAACACAGUUAAAGUAAAUGUUCUGUUUUGUGAUUUUAGGAUGGGCUGAAAGUUAACAUAUUGAUCAUGUUGUUGUCCACACAGUCUAAA
Long non-coding RNA from Amphiprion ocellaris (clown anemonefish), 1600 nucleotides. Lineage: Eukaryota; Metazoa; Chordata; Actinopteri; Pomacentridae. The record is from Ensembl.